This 104-nucleotide ribosomal RNA is filed under the name Clavulinopsis helvola. Its description in RNAcentral is "partial 5.8S ribosomal RNA". It matches the Rfam family "5.8S ribosomal RNA", at positions 52 to 154 of the family's 154-position model. From Rfam's summary of the family: 5.8S ribosomal RNA (5.8S rRNA) is a component of the large subunit of the eukaryotic ribosome. Lineage: Eukaryota; Fungi; Basidiomycota; Agaricomycetes; Agaricales; Clavariaceae. The record is from RNAcentral.
AUUGCGAUAUGUAAUGUGAAUUGCAGAAUUCAGUGAAUCAUCGAAUCUUUGAACGCACCUUGCGCCCUUUGGUAUUCCGAAGGGCAUGCCUGUUUGAGUGUCAU